AACACAUGCAAGUCGAACGAACCCUUCGGGGUUAGUGGCGCACGGGUGCGUAACGCGUGGGAAUCUGCCCUUUGCUUCGGAAUAACAGUUAGAAAUGACUGCUAAUACCGGAUGAUGUCUUCGGACCAAAGAUUUAUCGGCAAAGGAUGAGCCCGCGUAGGAUUAGGUAGUUGGUGGGGUAAAGGCCUACCAAGCCGACGAUCCUUAGCUGGUCUGAGAGGAUGAUCAGCCACACUGGGACUGAGACACGGCCCAGACUCCUACGGGAGGCAGCAGUGGGGAAUAUUGGACAAUGGGCGAAAGCCUGAUCCAGCAAUGCCGCGUGAGUGAUGAAGGCCUUAGGGUCGUAAAGCUCUUUUACCCGGGAUGAUAAUGACAGUACCGGGAGAAUAAGCCCCGGCUAACUCCGUGCCAGCAGCCGCGGUAAUACGGAGGGGGCUAGCGUUGUUCGGAAUUACUGGGCGUAAAGCGUACGUAGGCGGUUAUUCAAGUCAGAGGUGAAAGCCCGGGGCUCAACCCCGGAACGGCCUUUGAAACUAGGUAGCUAGAGUCUUGGAGAGGUCAGUGGAAUUCCGAGUGUAGAGGUGAAAUUCGUAGAUAUUCGGAAGAACACCAGUGGCGAAGGCGACUGACUGGACAAGUACUGACGCUGAGG
Molecule: ribosomal RNA, 655 nt
Filed under: uncultured Alphaproteobacteria bacterium
Lineage: Bacteria; Pseudomonadati; Pseudomonadota; Alphaproteobacteria
Description: bacterial SSU rRNA
Rfam family: Bacterial small subunit ribosomal RNA
Source: RNAcentral